UUUAAUUUUAGUUUUUCUUAUAUUAAUUCAUUUUCACAGAAAUCAAACACAAAUAUAUUUAUAUGACCAAUAUAGCAUAUUCAACACAUAUUACCAAUAGUCAUGAACACAUAUGUAUCCAACACAUGUUACCAAUAAUAGCAAGUUUCAUCCGUACAUAUACAUAGUUUCAUCAAUAUUACACAGUUUUAUCCAUAGGUAGCAAGUUUCACAAGGUCAAAACAAAAACUAAAUACAAGCACUCCAUCAACCCAAGCUUCAGUGAUCUUAAGCAAAUCUGUAAAAUGGGAAUGAAGAAAGUUAGAAGAAGAAGACUAGAAGAAGAAGAUUAUUAUGAUGCAACUAAAAUGUGAAGAUUAUUAUGAUGCAACUUAUAUCUGUAAAAUAGGUCAUUUUGGAGCUAAGUAUGGUUAUUAUGUCAUUUUUGAGCUAGCUAAGCAUACUAAGUCAUUUUGGUGUAAAACAUGCUAAGGUCAUUCUAGAGCUAAGUAAGGUUAUUAUGUCAUUUUGGAGCUAGCUAAGCAUGUGAAGUCAUUUAGGAUCUAAAAUAUGUCAUUUCUUAAGCAUAUUAUGUCAUUUUAGAGUUAGCUAAGCAUAUUAAGUCAUUUUGGAGGAAAAUCUGCUAAGUAUAGGCCAUUUUAGAGCUAUCCUAGGUUAAAUAGGUCAUUUUUAAGCUCGCUAAGCAUAUUAAGUCAUUUUGGAGGAAAAAAAUGCUAAGUAUAGGUCAUUUUAGAGCUGUCCUAGGUUAAAUAGGUCAUUUUGGAGCUAAUUAAGCUUAUUACGUAAUUUUUGAGCUAGCUAAGCAUAUUGAGUCAUUUUGGAGGAAAAAAUGCUAAGUAUAGGUCAUUUUAGAGCUAUCCUAGGUUAAAUAGGUCAUUUUGGAGCUAAGUAAGGUUAUUAUGUCAUUUUGGAGCUAGCUAAGCAUAUGAAGUCAUUUAGGAGCUAAAAUAUGUCAUUUAAGCAUUUAUGUCAUUUUAGAGCUAGUUAAGCAUAUUGAGUCAUUUUGGAGGAAAAGAUGCUAAGUAUAGGUCAUUUUAGAGCUAUCCUAGGUUAAAUAGGUCAUUUUUAAGCUAGCUAAGCAUAUUAAGUCAUUUUGGAGGAAAAAAUGCUAAGUAUAGGUCAUUUUAGAGCUAUCCUAGCUCCUAGGUUAAAUAGGUCAUUUUGGAGCUAAUUAAGCUUAUUAUGUAAUUUUUGAGCUAGCUAAGCAUAUUAAGUCAUUUUGGAGGAAAAAAUGCUAAGUAUAGGUCAUUUUAGAGCUAGCCUAGGUUGAAUAGGUUAUUUUGGAGCUAAGUAAGGUUAUUAUGUUAUUUUGGAGCUAGCUAAGCAUAUGAAGUCAUUUAGGAUCUAAAAUAUGUCAUUUCUUAAGCAUAUUAUAUCAUUUGAGAGCUAGCUAAGCAUAUUAAGUCAUUUUGGAGGAAAAUAUGCUAAGUAUACGUCAUUUUAGAGCUAUCCUAGGUUAAAUAUGUCAUUUUUAAGCUAGCUAAGCAUAUUAAGUCAUUUUGGAGGAAAAAUGCUAAGUAUAGGUCAUUUUAGAGCUAUCCUAGGUUAAAUAUGUCAUUUUUGGAGCUAAUUAAGCUUAUUAUGUCAUGUUUGAGCUAGCUAAGCAUAUUGAGUCAUUUUGGAGGAAAAAAUGCUAAGUAUAUGAUUAUGUCGCUAGUAUCCAUAUGGCAGAGAACCCGGGCCGACAUGACUAGUCAUAGAACCAAGGUGGCACAGCCGUACAGGGACAGGCAUACAUGACCCAGCAAUGCACGUGUCGGUCAUCAGCGAGUGCAACCAAGUCGUAGCAAGCUACAAGGACUUCGGUGAUACACCGUGUGACAUUUCCCCAUAGGGACAGACACAGGAGCAAAGAAGGACACAUGCCGGUCAAUCCAUGUGUUCCGGAGCAGUAGCGAACUACCAUGGCUCAGUGGAAGCACUAGGAGGCAUUUCCCUGUAUGGAAGGCUACCAAAGGCACACGACUAGGUGUCGAAUCCCACACAUACAAUGCAUUUCAAACAUACACACAUUAUGCACGAUAUGUGUAGAUACAACAUGGCAUCACAACAAAACUCUAUUAAGCAAAACACUUGGGAAAUUUACUGUCAUCACGGAGGUGUAGGUGUAGGACCGGUCGCGCCAGUGGCAGACGGAGAAGGAUCGGUCGAUGCUUGUCGGGAGUUACGCUGCACCAAAGAUUAUUUCCAAUGUAUCGUUAGCAUGAUGCAACUCAAAUGUGAAGACUAGUAACUAAUGACCGUUCAAAUGAAACUCACCGUGCCCGCCGGAGCAAUGGCUGGCAUCGGCGGAGGGGUCUGGCCGUUCUUCUCACACAUGGACUGCACAUUUGGUUUUGACGAGUUAGUCAUAUUAGUUACUAAUGAAAGGAACAUUGCGUGCAUGAUUUAGCUAAUAUGUAGAAGAAACUUACCACGAAGAGAUCGUACAUGGCCCGGUUAGCCGAGUCAUUCCGGUUCCUCUCCUCCUCCAACAGCCUAGCCGUCCUCUCCUCAUUCUCCCGGUUACCACGAAGAGAUCGUACAUAACCAAGCACUCUCUUAAAAAAGCCAUACUGAAGUCAAGUAUUCAAACUUCUGAAGUUAGCUGUCGUUCAGUUAAACAUAAAACCCAAACAUUCCAACUUCCCAGUUUAGCUACCGUUCAGUUUCAGGAAAAAAAAGAGUUACUUACCCACAAAAGAAAAAGGAGAAAGGAGUCAGCUAGCUUUCUUGCAGACUAUACGUGCGUGUGAAACAUAGAAUCGGGUCACGCAAGUUAUACAGAAGGCCAAACAUAUCUUUAGAAAACAAAAUAAAGUAAAAUAAAGUAACAACCAACAGAUAAUCUUGAGCAGAUGCAGCAGAGUGAGCUACAAUAUGAAAAAACCACUGCAACUAUGUAAGCCGCAACACCCAUACAAAUACAUGAAAACAUCGCCACACUUCGCCAACAGCAAACCGCCUGAUGCCUAUGUAUUAUAUAUAGGAGUGGAACGAAGUAGUCCUAGAUUUAAAAUAAAUAUAGGAGUUCGGGAGAGAUAAAGUUGAGUUGUUAUAAAUACUGCAAAUGGGGUUGUGUGUAGGUGUAGGUUCGCCUCAAGGCACACAACCAUGAGAUGAACUAUGUUGGUAUUUCUGUAUUUGCACAGUCCAGCCUUACAAGCCACACUGAAUAACAAUGAACAGAGUAAGAUUACUGGAAAUGUACUGAAUGCAUAAAUUGCAAAAUAUGUGCAGAUCUGUCUAAGGCUCAGGAAAUGUUUGUUGUUUUGGUUAUUGGAGUUGCAGAACAGUAGGAGAAUUAACCACUUAAUUACUACUAGAGUUUUGUUCAUCUGAAAAAAUAAAAUAGUGCGAGUGUUUUGCCAGGAGCUUCAGGGCACAAAUAAGUUAUGGGGCAAGACAAUUGUAUGAGUAGUACUGUUUUGCAUUGUAUUUGUAGGGAGGCAGCGCUACUGUUUAGCAUGGCAUCUACAGUCCGAAGAAAGAUGGGACCAACCAGAGUAAGGUGAAUGAAUCCACAGUCCAAACCAAGAGAAAGCUACCAUUCAUACACUAUUCCAUUUCAUUAGGUAAGGUAAAGGAGCCAAGUACAUUGCUGACCUGGCCAAAUUCAGACACACAGUUUAGACAGAAUUGACAGAUUUUUCUAGACAGAUUCAAACAUGUAGACUAGACAGAUUCUGUCAUAUGUAAUAACUCGGGACCACCAAAAACCUUGGCAGAUUUGAUUUGAUUUGUUAGCCGUACUACAGCAAAAUGAGGGAGUGCUAAAUGAUAGUGACACUAGGUUCAUGACAUAUUAUAUUAUCAAGUAGAUGUUCACAGGAGCAAGAACAACAAUCUUAGUUUUCAUGAAGUGGGGCAAAAUGUCACAAGAGAUUGGGUUGAACUGAUGUAUCUUCCACGAAAGGUUCAGUCCAAGAAAGCUUACCUUAGAUACCUCGAGGCAACUCUGCCAUUUCACUCCGAAGGAACAGCUCGGCGCAGAAUUCAGUUCUCACAACCAACGGCAUCAACAAGCAUUCAUCAAACAUCAAUC
This 4024-nucleotide long non-coding RNA is filed under the name Triticum aestivum (bread wheat). Its description in RNAcentral is "long non-coding RNA (TAES_LNC022894)". Lineage: Eukaryota; Viridiplantae; Streptophyta; Magnoliopsida; Poales; Poaceae. The record is from RNAcentral.